RNAcentral lists this small RNA (28 nucleotides) under Bombyx mori (domestic silkworm). Its description in RNAcentral is "ovarian small RNA-24447". The record is from RNAcentral. Lineage: Eukaryota; Metazoa; Arthropoda; Insecta; Lepidoptera; Bombycidae.
UCAAAGCAGCUAAUGUAUUCGUGGUCAA